AUUAACUUUACUUUGAUUURCUAAACUACUAUUUAAAAUUGAUUAUGGAUUGUUAAUGUUUCUUUCCAGUUCUUAACUUUUAUCCAUUAUAAAAAAUAAAAUAAGUUAUUAAUUUUUUUUUAGGUAUAUUAGGUGCCAGCAACCGCGGUCAUACCUAAUAAAAAUGUAAGUUUAURUUAUUUGAUUUUUUAUUUUUWWUAUACAUAAAAUAUUCUUUUUUUAGGUAAAAUACARAAAAAUAUGKAUWUCUUUUUGUAUAUAUAUUAUUUUUACUACUAAAAAAAUUAAUCCAAAACUAGGAUUAGAUACCCUAUUAUUUUUUAAAUAAAAAAAAUCAUAUUGAGUAYUAAAUUUUUUUAAAAAACCAAACUCAAUAAGUAUGGCAGUAAUUAUUAGUUUUAGGGGAACUUACCACAUAGUAGAUAAUCAACAAGAAAACCCAACUAAAUUUAUUUGUUUGUAUGCCGUCGUUUUCUUWUAAAUUAAGUUUAUAAGUAUAAUUUUAUAUWUUUAWUUUUAAAAUAUAAAAUAAAUAUCAGAUCAAGGUGCAGCAUGUUUAGGGUGUAGGCGAGUUACAAUAAAAAAUUUAUUUCUAUUUUUUAGGUGGACUUAAAAGUAAUAUAAUAUAUAARAUAAAUUUUUUUUUAAAUGAAUUAUYAUAAUAAUUGUGCACAAAUCGCCCGUCGUUCUCAAUAUUUAUUGAUUUUUUAUUUGAGACAAGUCGUAACAUAGUAGAAAUAGUGGAAACUGUUUCU
RNAcentral lists this non-coding RNA (755 nucleotides) under Succinea putris (European ambersnail). Lineage: Eukaryota; Metazoa; Mollusca; Gastropoda; Stylommatophora; Succineidae. The record is from RNAcentral.